GGACCCGUAGCUCAGCUGGAUAGAGCGUCGGCCUCCGGAGCCGAAGGUCGCAGGUUCGAAUCCUGCCGGGUCCACCA
RNAcentral lists this transfer RNA (77 nucleotides) under Rhodovibrio salinarum. Its description in RNAcentral is "tRNA-Arg". It matches the Rfam family "tRNA". From Rfam's summary of the family: Transfer RNA (tRNA) molecules are approximately 80 nucleotides in length. Their secondary structure includes four short double-helical elements and three loops (D, anti-codon, and T loops). RNAcentral also lists the same sequence under 2 other names. The record is from RNAcentral. Lineage: Bacteria; Pseudomonadati; Pseudomonadota; Alphaproteobacteria; Rhodospirillales; Rhodovibrionaceae.